This 567-nucleotide ribosomal RNA is filed under the name Streptomyces noboritoensis. Its description in RNAcentral is "bacterial SSU rRNA". It matches the Rfam family "Bacterial small subunit ribosomal RNA", at positions 90 to 671 of the family's 1533-position model. Lineage: Bacteria; Bacillati; Actinomycetota; Actinomycetes; Kitasatosporales; Streptomycetaceae. The record is from RNAcentral.
UUAGUGUGCUGAACGGGUGAGUAACACGUGGGCAAUCUGCCCUUCACUCUGGGACAAGCCCUGGAAACGGGGUCUAAUACCGGAUACGACCCGGAAGCGCAUGCUUCUGGGUGGAAAGCUCCGGCGGUGAAGGAUGAGCCCGCGGCCUAUCAGCUUGUUGGUGGGGUAAUGGCCUACCAAGGCGACGACGGGUAGCCGGCCUGAGAGGGCGACCGGCCACACUGGGACUGAGACACGGCCCAGACUCCUACGGGAGGCAGCAGUGGGGAAUAUUGCACAAUGGGCGAAAGCCUGAUGCAGCGACGCCGCGUGAGGGAUGACGGCCUUCGGGUUGUAAACCUCUUUCAGCAGGGAAGAAGCGAAAGUGACGGUACCUGCAGAAGAAGCGCCGGCUAACUACGUGCCAGCAGCCGCGGUAAUACGUAGGGCGCAAGCGUUGUCCGGAAUUAUUGGGCGUAAAGAGCUCGUAGGCGGCUUGUCACGUCGGAUGUGAAAGCCCGGGGCUUAACCCCGGGUCUGCAUUCGAUACGGGCUAGCUAGAGUGUGGUAGGGGAGAUCGGAAUUCCU